RNAcentral lists this transfer RNA (75 nucleotides) under Lignipirellula cremea. Its description in RNAcentral is "Planctomycetes bacterium Pla85_3_4 tRNA-Thr". It matches the Rfam family "tRNA". From Rfam's summary of the family: Transfer RNA (tRNA) molecules are approximately 80 nucleotides in length. Their secondary structure includes four short double-helical elements and three loops (D, anti-codon, and T loops). Further hydrogen bonds mediate the characteristic L-shaped molecular structure. tRNAs have two regions of fundamental functional importance: the anti-codon, which is responsible for specific mRNA codon recognition, and the 3' end, to which the tRNAs corresponding amino acid is attached (by aminoacyl-tRNA synthetases). tRNAs cope with the degeneracy of the genetic code in two manners: having more than one tRNA (with a specific anti-codon) for a particular amino acid; and 'wobble' base-pairing, i.e. permitting non-standard base-pairing at the 3rd anti-codon position. Lineage: Bacteria; Pseudomonadati; Planctomycetota; Planctomycetia; Pirellulales; Pirellulaceae. The record is from RNAcentral.
GCCAGCGUAGCUCAAUUGGCAGAGCAGCUGAUUUGUAAUCAGCAGGUUGAGGGUUCAAGUCCCCCCGCUGGCUCC